Molecule: non-coding RNA, 21 nt
Filed under: Arabidopsis thaliana (thale cress)
Lineage: Eukaryota; Viridiplantae; Streptophyta; Magnoliopsida; Brassicales; Brassicaceae
Source: RNAcentral
CCAGAGUCCUCGUUUACCCUA